Molecule: ribosomal RNA, 119 nt
Filed under: Cebus imitator (Panamanian white-faced capuchin)
Lineage: Eukaryota; Metazoa; Chordata; Mammalia; Primates; Cebidae
Source: RNAcentral
GUUUAUAGCCAUACCACCCCGAAUGCACCCCAUCUUGUCUGAUCUCGGAAGCUAAGCAGGGUCAGGUGUGGUUAGUACUUGGAUGGGAGACCACCUGGGCCUACUGGGUGCUACAGGCA